AUUGAACGCUGGCGGCAUGCCUUACACAUGCAAGUCGAACGGCAGCACGGGUGCUUGCACCUGGUGGCGAGUGGCGAACGGGUGAGUAAUACAUCGGAACAUGUCCUGUAGUGGGGGAUAGCCCGGCGAAAGCCGGAUUAAUACCGCAUACGAUCUACGGAUGACAGCGGGGGACCUUCGGGCCUCGCGCUAUAGGGUUGGCCGAUGGCUGAUUAGCUAGUUGGUGGGGUAAAGGCCUACCAAGGCGACGAUCAGUAGCUGGUCUGAGAGGACGACCAGCCACACUGGGUCUGAGACACGGCCCAGACUCCUACGGGAGGCAGCAGUGGGGAAUUUUGGACAAUGGGCGAAAGCCUGAUCCAGCAAUGCCGCGUGUGUGAAGAAGGCCUUCGGGUUGUAAAGCACUUUUGUCCGGAAAGAAAUCCUUGGCUCUAAUACAGUCGGGGGAUGACGGUACCGGAAGAAUAAGCACCGGCUAACUACGUG
Molecule: ribosomal RNA, 486 nt
Filed under: uncultured bacterium
Lineage: Bacteria
Description: partial 16S ribosomal RNA
Rfam family: Bacterial small subunit ribosomal RNA
Source: RNAcentral